ACUCAACUAGCUCAGUCGGUAGAGCACGAGUCUCUUAAUCUCGGGGUUCUAGACCAACGUUGGGCG
Molecule: non-coding RNA, 66 nt
Organism: Caerostris darwini
Lineage: Eukaryota; Metazoa; Arthropoda; Arachnida; Araneae; Araneidae
Source: the annotation of a GenBank genome assembly